UGAGGCGAUUUUCCCUAGCUGAGCGGCCUAGAGCCACUCAGAGGCAAGGGUUUGGACUCAGUGACUUUUGUCCCUUCAGACAUUGAAGGGGCCAGGAAGCGUGUGAGCACGGCUGAAGUUUCAAACCCAUACCCACCCCCACCCUCUUGUCCCCUCUUCUGUAACACUGGCAUGCUGGGAAACAGAUACCUCCUGCCUUUCUCAGCCCAGAGGCUUCACUGCGAGUACUGUCCAGCCACACCACAUCUGGGGCCUGCCCAUCCCUGGAUUUGUGUAUCUGGACAGUGGGACAGUGAGCCAAAGGUAGGGCCUUCCUUGGCGGCCUGACUCUCGGGGUGUGCUGGGUCUCAUCUCUCUUGGUACAAGUGAGCCUGAGUCAACGCUCCUUCCAUGCUGGGGAUGUUCAUAGCUGAGCUCCACUCAUGCUGCACGGCCCGCCUGCUGCCUCCACCUCUAAAUGAAGACUGGGCUUCAGAUGAUGGGAAAUACAAGGUACAGAGAGGUGGAGCAACUUGCCCAGCAGGACACAGCCAGAGGAUGUUCCAGCAGGGCAGAGCCCUGGCCAAGUUGGUCCUGAACUCAGCUCCUGUCACCUUCCUCUGCUGGGAAGGGGGUGUGGCUGAAGGGGGAGGAGAAGGUGCCCGCUGUGGGAGGAGCUGUUGGUAGCAGGGAGGUUUCUGAUGAGCCGAGGGGGAGUGGCAUUGGAUGUGGCAGCGAGGAGGGGUUCACAUAAAGUUCCCUUGCCCACCCGGCGUCCUCAGCCCCACUCACUGUAAACUAGAGCAACAGGUACCUGUUCUCUCUGCUACUGAAAGAAGUAAGGUGUCUGGUCUAGCCCUUGGCCCAGCCCAUGGGGGCUGAAAGCAGAAGCUGCUGUGUCUGUCAGGCCAAGGAGUGCCAGGCUUUGGCCUAGGGAGGAGAAACAGUGCUAGGCUACCAGACUAAGUCUGGAGUGUUAGAGUGGACAGUGUCCUUGGGAGCCAGAUCUGGUAAACUUCCCAUCCACUGGGUCAUUUCAACCCCAAGGCACUCUAGUGGUUAUAAUUUAUCCCAAUAAAUCCUGGAGAAUUCCAGAA
This is a long non-coding RNA of Mesocricetus auratus (golden hamster), 1076 nucleotides long. RefSeq lists it as uncharacterized. The transcript is spliced from 3 exons. The record is from RefSeq and is a predicted model, not a curated record. Lineage: Eukaryota; Metazoa; Chordata; Mammalia; Rodentia; Cricetidae.